AAGAACUUAAUUUUGAAAGAUCCAUCACAAGGUGUAACUACUAUAUCAUCUCUUAAACAUAUAUAUGAGCAUUUGUAAUAAUGGAUUUGAUCACUUGUUCUUUAACUCAUCAUUAUGGCUUUUCUUAAUAGUCAUGUUGAUUUUGAUGAUCUAUAUAUUGGCAUAUGUUGAUUUUGAUGAUUUAUAUAUUGCCAUUAUGUACUUAUGUUUUUACUUAAGUUUUGAUGAUAAAGAAUGUGCAUUGAUGAGUACAUUAUAUUUGAUCACUUGUUCUUUAACUCAUCAUUAUGGCUUUUCUUAAUAGUCAUGUUGAUUUUGAUGAUCUAUAUAUUGGCAUAUGUUGAUUUUGAUGAUUUAUAUAUUGCCAUUAUGUACUUAUGUUUUACUUAAGUUUUGAUGAUAAAGAAUGUGCAUUGAUGAGUACAUUAUAUUUGAUGAAGCUUGAUCUUAUGCAAUCUAUGAUUAGUGAAUAUAUGCAUUUUUUGUACUUUAUCGAUAUAUUGUUGAAUAUGUCUUACUUAUUUUAAAUGAUAUCGAAAAAGAGAGAAUGAUUUAAUUUGUGUUAUGAAAAUAUAUGCAUGUAUCUAGGGGGAGCAUGUAUGCAGGGGGAGUUUUUAUUAAACUAUUUUCAAAUCAUUUUUUAACUUGCAUUGAUAAUUAUGGAGCUUGAAUAUUUGAUAAUAUGCAUGCCAAUUUGGUAAAGAAAUCAAAACCUCUUUGCGAAGAAGAAUUUUCAAAAAUUCGGCAUAAACUUGGAAUGAUUUGAUUUCUUGAUGAUUUUGGUAAUUGAUGAUUAUAUGUGUGUUGCUUGAUAAAUUGAAGGAGUUG
This 828-nucleotide long non-coding RNA is filed under the name Citrus x clementina. RNAcentral's name for it is "Citrus clementina (C. clementina) long non-coding RNA (CCLE_LNC005953)". The record is from RNAcentral. Lineage: Eukaryota; Viridiplantae; Streptophyta; Magnoliopsida; Sapindales; Rutaceae.